UACGUAGGGGGCUAGCGUUGUCCGGAAUCAUUGGGCGUAAAGCGCGUGUAGGCGGUCCGGUAAGUCCGCUGUGAAAGUCGGGGGCUCAACCCUCGAAAGCCGGUGGAAACUGUCGGGCUAGAGUGCGGAAGAGGCGAGUGGAAUUCCUGGUGUAGCGGUGAAAUGCGUAGAUAUCAGGAAGAACACCGGUGGCGAAGGCGGCUUACUGGACUGUAACUGACGUUGAGGCUCGAAAGCGUGGGGAGCAAACAGG
RNAcentral lists this ribosomal RNA (253 nucleotides) under uncultured bacterium. RNAcentral's name for it is "partial 16S ribosomal RNA". It matches the Rfam family "Bacterial small subunit ribosomal RNA", at positions 524 to 776 of the family's 1533-position model. The record is from RNAcentral.